RNAcentral lists this long non-coding RNA (8004 nucleotides) under Lupinus angustifolius (narrow-leaved blue lupine). RNAcentral describes it as "long non-coding RNA (LANG_LNC003623)". Lineage: Eukaryota; Viridiplantae; Streptophyta; Magnoliopsida; Fabales; Fabaceae. The record is from RNAcentral.
UUUGGCGGUUAUUCUCUUGUAUAUGGCUGCAUGGUGAGGUUGUCUAUGUGAUGAAUCAAGAAGUGUAUAAAAGAAAGGUUAAAGAAGCUUAAAGAAAGAAGAAUGAGAAACAAAGAUUGAUAAUAUUCUCAUUGAAUGAAUUGAAUUGAAUGAAUUAGAAGUGAGCCAAUAUGAAUUAUUUAUACAAGAGAAAAUAAUGAAAAGAAACCUUAUAAAGCAAGUAACUAACAUAAACCUAACUUACUAAUUCAUUACUUUCUAACCAAUUAUUAUCUUCCAAAAUAACCUAUCGUAUAUCUUUAAUAUCCCCCCUCAAGCUGGUGAAUGAAAUUAUUUACUCUUCAGCCUGGAAUUGAAUUCAAGUAAUAACAACACUUAACCAUCCACGACAUAAGCUAUAUCAUCAAACGCUUAACCAUCCAUAGCAGAAACUAUAUCUUUGCUUAACCACCAUGGAUAGAAGCUACCCAUCCAAUGCUUAACCAUCCAUGAGAUAAGUUAUAUCUGAGCUUAACCAUCAUGGACAGAAGUGAACCAACCAUUGAUGAUGAAAGAGAGAGAAUAGAUCAGAAUCUUGAUCCUAAUGAGAUGCUUCAAUGAUGAAUAAGAAAUAGGGGUAAAUGAUGAAGAAUAAGAAAAUGAUUUAAUAUUGUAUAUGAUAAAUUGAUGAUGAAUGAUGAUAAAUGUUGAAUCUUGGAAUGAUGGAGCCAUAAUCAGAAGCAUUUCCUUGUAAAAGACCUCCUUGAACAUAAGCAACCAGGUCUCGGGUGAAGAUUAUUGAUGAAUUUGUGCAUUUGAAAGAAGAACAAAGCAUUAGUGGUUCAAUAUGAAAGAAUAAUGAGUAUUCUUGAUGGUCUUCUUUAUGGUUUUGAGGAGUUAAUAAAGGUGAUUAAAGAGGAUGAAAAAUAAGUUGCACUACUUCGAUAAGGUAGUCCACCUACACCCCCUUGAUUUACGCUAUGAUCAUCACUAUCCUUAGCCAUAGUGUAAGAUUUCUCACUUUGAUGAUUGAUGCAUAACCACCAUAGGCAGAAGCAACUUCAUCCAAAGCUUAACCAUCUAUCUUGACAGAAGCUUAACCAACCAAACCAACCAUAAUGGAUAAAAGAGAGAAAAACAGAUCUUAAUCUUGAUCCUAAUAUGAUGCUUCAAUGAAGAAAAAUACACACUAAAAAUAAUGUUGUGUGUUUAAUGAGAGAUAUAAAAAUAGAGUAUGAAUAAAAUAAAGGGUAAUUGGUGGUUGAAAAGUAAAGUUGAUAGUGCUUUGAAAGAUAUGACUCUUAGUAAGCCAAAUAGUGCACGAGAAGCACCUUCUGAGAUACUUGAUUGUAUGAAUAACGGCUACUGUGAACUCCUCCAAAACUAGAUAGGACAUAUAGAAAUCAGAUUAAAAAGUGUCACACACUUUUGCUGAAGUAUUAUGACUCAUGUCUAAACAUCAAAUGUAUAAAGAAGCUUUUUUCCAAAUCUUUCUCUAUGUUUACAAGCUCUUCACCAUAUAGUUUUUGCUCAAAUACCCAAAUCCAUAUUCUUGCUAAAGAAAAACUCCAAUAAGAACUAGGCUAAACGUGUUGGAAAACACAUAGAUAACCACAUCAUGCAGCCAUAUACAAGAGAAUAACCGCCAAACCUCAUGUGUAUGAACAACCUUGUUCACUUGUAGAGCACCCAUCUUUUCUAAUGUGAGUAAAGAAGGACCAGGAAGAAGGUUAUGUUUGAGAGUUGCCAAGAUUCACUGGUAAUAAUAACUCAUACACCUCAUACAAUCAUGAUUUUCAUCAAAGAUGCCUCAAUCCUCCUUUGGACACUGAAAGUAUUCCACCUGAUGGUGAUAAUACAUUACUAAAUCAAGAAGAAGAACUAAAUACCAUCAUGGCUCUUUGUUGAAAUUUGUUGUAUGUAACAAAGUUGAAACUUAAUUGGAGAAUAUAAAAUGCCAAUGUUGUAGCCUUGAAGAUGUAGGUCUUGUAUGUUUCCAAGCUCUUCUUGUCAACGACAGCACCUCUUCCUUUGGGUGCUUCUUUCCAACCUUGGAUUUCUUCUCUGAUGGUGAUGACUUUUCCAAUGGCUUCUUCUCAGCCUUGGGUAUUGAGAUGGGGAAGAAGAACCACAAUCUUAUUUAUUGUAAUGAGAAUCAUAAUGAUUCUUUGUUGAAUCUUGGAAUGAUGGAGCCAUAAGUGGAAGCUAACAAAAGAAUAAUUAUGCUCUGAUACCAUGUUAAAAUGGUAGGAGACAUGAUUGAAAUCUUCUUCAUGAAACAAGAAAGAUGAGAGAAGAAAAUAUCAUUCAUUAAAUAUUGAAAAACAAAAUUACAUUGAAUCAUUUAUAUAAAGGAUAGAAAAACUAACUAUCCUAACCAAACUAACUAACCACUCAACUAUUUUAACAUUCCCCCGCAAGCUGGAAUAUAUUAAGCAUUCCAAGUUUGAAAUAAUUGUGUUGAACACAAUGAUAUACUCUAAUACAUCCUCUUGUUGGUGAGUGAAUAUUCAUCUCUCAGUCUUGAAAUCUGAAUGCGAAGCAACACUGACGCUUAACCACCAUAGGCAGAAGCAACUUCAUCCAAAGCUUAACCAUCUAUUUUUCACAGAAGCUUAACCAACCAAACUAACUAACCACUCAAAUAUUUUAACAAGUUACGUAGCACUGAUUCUGAAAGCCCAAACCAAGGCCUAAAGGAUUUGCAAGCACCCUUCACUCACAAUUGAACCUUUCCUCUUUUGGCAACUUUUCAUAUUUAUGUUUUUAUCGUUAUUAGGAUAGUUUCCAUAUUUAUUAAUUUUUCUGUUUUAUUAUUAGCAGGUUUUCUCUUCUUCCUCAGUUGACUUUCUCAUAUAAAUAAAGUCAUUGUGUGUUAGUUUCAAUGAUCAAGUUUUAAAAAAAUAAUCAUUUCCAUCAAUUUGAUCAUCAUACAAGAAAUCAAAGUUUGAUUCUUGUUUUUCGGUUUUGAUCUUGUUGCUUAGUUAAGCUUGUAACACCGCGAAUUUUAUGAUUUUGAAUUAUAAGAUUUUAUUAAUAUUUUUAUUAAUUAAAUUUUCGAAAAUGAAUUUUUGGGAAUUUUCGGUAAAGAAUUAGACGAAACUCUAGUUGAGUUUUAGUCUUAAAAUUCUAUUUCCAAUUUAGUGGUAAAUGUUCAUGAUUUUCGGAGACAUUCGGUUUCGGACCGCUGUCGGGGCCGAAUCUCACCCGGUACGGCUCAAAAAGUGGUUUUUGAGUUCCGUAACUCGGAAUCAAAUUCUGAUCGUGCCGUUGGCUUCGUAAUCACCUUUCGAGACAAGAUAGACCCUGAGUUGGUCCAUAACUAUUUUCUAAAAUAUUUUCUCAGAAUGCCGAAAUUCGAAGUUCCAACCGUAAAUUAAAAUCGGGCGAUCAUUUUUGGCUACUCGAAUAUUGGCCGACAAUACUCGAGCAUGGUGUUAAUCGCGCACGUUUCGCCGAAGUCGUCGCGUCGCAUGAGUCACUUCACAAAAUCUAACCACUAAAUCUUAUAGAUUUGCCUUGAUUUACUAUCACCAAAUCCCCUAAAUCACUCACUUAACCCAUGAUUCACUCACCCAUGUAUCCUCAUGCACUAACACUUUGCAAAAAUUUGUCAGUUGGAAGAUUUGAGAGUAAGUUACUCUCAUCAUCUUUUCUUCUUCAUUUUCUUCUUCUUUCAAUCUUCAAUCUCUUCACAUUCAACCAAUGGAUGUUGACUAUAUUGAAGUAUGUUGUUCAUGAGUAUGUCAAGAACAUAUUCAACCGUUGAAAUUUUCUAAAACACUUUCUAACUCAUUUUGGAAGCAAAACCGAAAAUGAGUGUUCUUGAACUCAUGAAAAAUGUGUUUUGAAACUAUGAACAAGUUGUUUUCAAGAAGUUAUUACAUUUUUUUAAUAUAUGAAUUUUUACUUGUUUAAGCCUUUAACCAUGGCUUUGGACAAGUUGGAAAAUGGAUGGAUGAAAGAGUUUUAAGUACUUUAAUAGUAAUGAGUUUGGAAAUAUCGGCAAACUAACAAGUUUUAUUAUGGUAGUUACGAAGAUUUCCGGCAUUUGAACCUUGCAACCCAACCGAACCAUAGUGAUUUCGUAAAGCACGCUUCAUUAAGGUGAGAGAGAACACAUCGUGACAUAGUGGUGUGCGAAUAUGACACCCGGAUCUCCUAAACCAUCUCAAAGGUUUUGGAGUUAACUUGGAUUUUAAGAAACCCAAGAUUUUGUAUGUUUCUUUUGAAUAUAUAUGAUUGUUGAUGAAAUGUGUUGAAUAUUGUAUAUGAAUGUUGUUGGGAACUUUCUAUGUGCAGGUGUGUGAAAAACCAUGUUUAAAUGUGUUUUUGGUUGUCGAAAAGGGCAAAAUUGGUAUUCUGUCCAAGUCCUUGUCGCUUGGACGAGAAACUCUCGCUUGGGCGAGCACAGCCUCGCUUGGGCGAGGACUGGGCAAGGGGAAGUUUUGGUUCUGGAAUUCCCUCACCUGGGCGAUAGAAUCUCGCUUGGGCGAGCAAGCCUCGCAUGGGCGAGAACGCCCAGGAUUUUUAUGAGCCCCUGUAACUCUCUCGCUUGGGCGAGAGAUGUCUCGCUUGAGCGAGAAGAGGCCUCGCUUGGGCGAUAGUACCUUCGCCUGGGCGAGGAAGGCUUCAGUUUAUUUGAGAUUUAAAGAUGAAUUGUCACUUGGACGACUUGUCCCUGCUUUGGCGAGGGGCAGAGUGGAAAGAUUGAAAUAAGAUGAUGUUGUGAACAAUGCGAUGAACCCGGGUGUUGUGGUGUAAAGUUGUGGAAUGAGAUCAUGUCUUAAAUGGUAUAAAGAUGAUGUUGUGAAAGUAUUGUUUGUGUUUAUGCCUUGUUGGGCAAGUAUCCGACUUGAGGUCGUGAACUAGGGGGGUACCCUAGUAAGGAUACAUGAUAUCACUGAACAACGAUCGACCGACCGUAAGAGGCUUGGUCAUGUGACCGUCCAGGGGUAUUCGGUGAUGGGUUGUUGUGAUUGAGAUGUUACCUUGAGCAUGUACGGUUGACGUACUAUCGGGUCCCACGAGAAGCAUUCCUUGUCGGGAGAUGGCUUAAGGAUGGGCCGAUCAUGUGUUUGAUUAAUACAUUUGCAUUUGAUUUUGAUUAAGAAUGCAUUGCAUUGUGACCAUGAAGUAGUGGAGAGGAAAUGACGGGACGACUUAGAGCACCAUGAUGUAAGUAGGGAUGACACUGAUUGGACGAUGAUUCGCCAACAAUGUCUUGAGGGAGAGUCUGGGUGAGACGAGUCCCUUGUAUUCUUGGGGAGGUACCCUAUUGGAUCAGACAGAUCUCACAGGCCAAACUAGGCAAUCUCUGACAAUCCCUGGAUUGCAUUCGAGAUCGAUGAGAGGGAUGCUCAAAAAGCGUCUGUACGACCUAGAUCCGGGUAGGACUGUUCCUAAGGGAACUGGUCGAUCUAUUGUUAAUUCCUUGCGAGGUUAUGUUAUUUCGGGUGCAUACAAAGAGGCUUGGUAAGGGACCUGUACUCUCGAUUAUUUCCGAUUAGGAUGUUGGAUGGAUAUUGGUGUAAGGUGGAUAAUCAUGACAUAUUAUGCAUAGAUUAUCAUUGUGGAAGUGAAUUCCCACAUGUGAGUUACAAGCAUUGUGUUUUCCUAUGUUUAUGCAUGUGAUAUGGUUAUGAGUAGAAUGUUGACUAUAUUACNNNNNNNNNNNNNNNNNNNNNNNNNNNNNNNNNNNNNNNNNNNNNNNNNNNNNNNNNNNNNNNNNNNNNNNNNNNNNNNNNNNNNNNNNNNNNNNNNNNNUAUAUGAACUGUUUUUCAUAUCUGAGUGUGAUAUUCUGAGUAAGUCCACGCCGUCAAUGAAUUUAUGUUCAUUAGAUGUCUUACUCUCUUUGCUGUAUUGUUCUCGUUUUGUAUAUAUUUGCUAUGCAAAUGGCCAACAACAACACUCAUAUUCGAGGUUAUCACUUCACGAUAUCCCCGAUGGGACAGUGGACUAGUGACGGGCACAGAUAUACAUACACAGGCCCCUGCGGUCUAUCAUUGCACAUAGUAUGAAACGGGUCAUCGAUGAUGAUCUCUCAACCCGACACCUACAUUGACACUUCCUUCACCUUGCCGCCAAAGAGGCUGAUGUCUCCAGAGGUUGGACUUCGAUACCCGCAAGUCAAGAGUGAUGGUGUUGUUCCCUCCCACGGUUAUAGGACAUGGUCAGAUUGUUUGGGUGCUCCGUCAUCCAGUAGAGCCAAGAGGAGCAGUUGUCUUGGAGGGGGUCCCCGCAGGAAGGCUCUAGUGUUGAGAAUGUCAUCCCCUCCGAAUUAUGCCGCUGGGUUAUGGCAUAAUGAAGUGGAGGAAGAGGAGGAGGAGGACGAGGUCGUUGAGCUCGUCAAUGUAGAGAGCUCGGUGGAGGUGAUCGACCUCGUGUCUGACUCGGAAGAGGAGGAGGACCCGAGUGAGAGGUGCAACAUUCCUGGAAUCUUUUGAGUCAGCUUGUGGACCAGUCGAUGUCCCCUUUUGUUUUUGGUGGGGGCUGUGUUUCUUUUGAUUUUGUAUAUGUUAGUGGCGAUGUAGUUUCCGCCUUUGCUGACCUAGUCUGUAUGAACUGACUAUGACUUAACCGAUUAUAUACAUCGUAUUAUUCAGGAAAUUGUGAAUCAGGUUAAGUUAUCAUUCGAUAACGAUAAGUUUUUAAAAGGGAAGUUUUUAAAAUAAUCAUUUCCAUCAAUUUGAUCAUCAUACAAGAAAUCAAAGUUUGAUUCUUGUUUUUCGGUUUUGAUCUUGUUGCUUAGUGAAGCCAAGAUUUUCUGUUCUUUUCAACCAUGAAAACCAUGUCGUCACACAGAGAAUGGAAACUCAAAAAGGACAUCAUGGAUAUAAGUAUUCUUUAAAAAUAAAUGAAAAAAAGGAUAUUCAUAAAAGAUGAAACUUCAAUAAAUAUAUACAGUAAAGAUGAAACCUUAGAUGUAUUUUCACUAAAUGAAAAAAAAGUUACAUAAUAAAGGGAAAAAAUUUACAAAACAAAUAGACAAAAUCAGUCAUCAAACCAAGGGUUCCAUGGAUGCAAAAAAAUGGAGAAAAAAAUCACACCUUUGCAAGAAAGAUGAAUCUGAUGUUAAACAUCCAGAAGUUGAAAAUAGAGAGUGAGAAUAAAAGUCCAUUGUAAAGGUAAGUUAAUAGCAAGAGAUUAGAGAUAAAACUCAUAACUUUACUGUAAAAGAGCCAACUUUACACAUAAAAUGGAAACUCAAAAAAGACACCCGCUGAUAUAAGUGAUCUUCAAAAAAUAAGUGAAAAAAAUAUACUCACAAAAAAUGAAACUUUAGUAAAUAUACACGUUAAAGAUAAAACUUCAAAUGUAUUUUCACAAAUAAAUGAAAAAAGGUACACAGUAAAGGAAAAAAGUACCAAAAAAACAUACACAGUAAAGGAAAUAAAUUACAAAGCAAAUAGACAAAAUCAUCAAAGAUCUCAUUGAUACAAAAAAAUAGAAACAAAAAUCAUACCUUUGUUAGAAAGAUGAGUCUAAGGUUAAACAUCCAGAAGCUGCAAAUAGAGUAUGAGAAUAAAAGUUCAUUGUGAGAAACAUAAUGUUGAGAGAGUGAGACAUGAAAAAAAAUAAGUUAAUAGCAAGAGAUUGGAGAUAGAAAAUCAUACCUCUACUGUAAAAGAGCAAACUUUACACAGAAAAUGGAAACUAAAAAAAAAUGAAACCAUAGUAAAGAUGAAACUUCAGAUAUAUUUUCACAAAUAAAUGGAAAAAAAGUAUAGUAAAGGGAAAAAAUUAUAAAACAAAUAGACAAAAUCAGGUACCAAAUCAAAGGUUCCAUAAACAUUCAUAACCGAGUAAAGAUAACUCCUUUUCAAAUAAGUUGUAAAGGAAAUAGACAAAACAAAUUGAAGAAAGGAAAGGUUUCAUGUUACAACAAAAAAUUAACAUUCUUUGUCAACCUUUGUGUAAGUGAUGAACCAUAUAUUACCUUAAGUAUGAGCUUGCGCUGAGUUUAAAAGCAAGAGUGAAAGAUAAAUGAAGAUUAUGAAAGAAGAAUUGAAGAGGGAGACAUG